UUACCGAGUUUACAACUCCCAAACCCCUGUGAACAUACCACUUGUUGCCUCGGCGGAUCAGCCCGCUCCCGGUAAAACGGGACGGCCCGCCAGAGGACCCCUAAACUCUGUUUCUAUAUGUAACUUCUGAGUAAAACCAUAAAUAAUUCAAAACUUUCAACAACGGAUCUCUUGGUUCUGGCAUCGAUGAAGAACGCAGCAAAAUGCGAUAAGUAAUGUGAAUUGCAGAAUUCAGUGAAUCAUCGAAUCUUUGAACGCACAUUGCGCCCGCCAGUAUUCUGGCGGGCAUGCCUGUUCGAGCGUCAUUUCAACCCUCAAGCACAGCUUGGUGUUGGGACUCGCGUUAAUUCGCGUUCCUCAAAUUGAUUGGCGGUCACGUCGAGCUUCCAUAGCGUAGUAGUAAAACCCUCGUUACUGGUAAUCGUCGCGGCCACGCCGUUAAACCCCAACUUCUGAAUGUUGACCUCGGAUCAGGUAGGAAUACCCGCUGAACUUAAGCAUAUCAAUAAGCGGAGGAAAAGAAACCAACAGGGAUUGCCCUAGUAACGGCGAGUGAAGCGGCAACAGCUCAAAUUUGAAAUCUGGCUCUCGGGCCCGAGUUGUAAUUUGUAGAGGAUACUUUUGAUGCGGUGCCUUCCGAGUUCCCUGGAACGGGACGCCAUAGAGGGUGAGAGCCCCGUCUGGUUGGAUGCCAAAUCUCUGUAAAGUUCCUUCAACGAGUCGAGUAGUUUGGGAAUGCUGCUCUAAAUGGGAGGUAUAUGUCUUCUAAAGCUAAAUACCGGCCAGAGACCGAUAGCGCACAAGUAGAGUGAUCGAAAGAUGAAAAGCACUUUGAAAAGAGAGUUAAAAAGUACGUGAAAUUGUUGAAAGGGAAGCGUUUAUGACCAGACUUGGGCUUGGUUAAUCAUCUGGGGUUCUCCCCAGUGCACUUUUCCAGUCCAGGCCAGCAUCAGGUUUCCCCGGGGGAUAAAGGCGGCGGGAAUGAGGCUCUCUUCGGGGAGUGUUAUAGCCCACCGUGUAAUACCCUGGGGGGGACUGAGGUCGCGC
RNAcentral lists this ribosomal RNA (1047 nucleotides) under Fusarium sp. P. del g. RNAcentral's name for it is "eukaryotic LSU rRNA". The stretch from base 461 to 1047 matches the Rfam family "Eukaryotic large subunit ribosomal RNA", at positions 1 to 600 of the family's 3401-position model. Lineage: Eukaryota; Fungi; Ascomycota; Sordariomycetes; Hypocreales; Nectriaceae. The record is from RNAcentral.